This 1052-nucleotide long non-coding RNA is filed under the name Zea mays. RNAcentral's name for it is "drought responsive lncRNA". Lineage: Eukaryota; Viridiplantae; Streptophyta; Magnoliopsida; Poales; Poaceae. The record is from RNAcentral.
ACCACGUCUCAGGUCGCGUGAGGAGGGCAAUCUGCUGCCAGGUUCAAUCAGGUACUAGGCUUACCGAUUUACCAUAUUUCUCGGCAUAUGUUUAGUACGUUCAAACGCUUGACACACGGUACUAAACCAUAAUCCUUAGUCCAAUUUCCACCUCGUAGACAACCAAUCCUCAUGGAUUGUUUUCCACAGACCAACAUCAUUAUACUAUGAAAGUGGAUACAACCAAUUCCUGACCUCGCGCGAGUGCUAGAAAAAUCACUCGACUUAUACCGAGAUCCCUAAUUAGUAAAGCAACUACUCGACCUAGCAUACUAGUAUCCAUCUCAAAGGAAUCCUGGGUUCAUGCAACUAGGGUUUCAGUCAACUCCUACCCUUAAGUGCACAGUACAAACCUACAAACAUUAAGUGUAGUAAAAUAGCAUAUAUAAACGGUUAUGCAUAAAACCGGGGCUUGCCUUCCAAAGCUGGGGCAGGCAGAUUGUGGCAGAACCUCCCAAGGUAUCGGGCCCACAUGCACUUGUCCUUGUCCCAAAGACCUCAGACGGCCAUGCAUGUGCACCAGAUAACUUAACAGGAUCCGUCCGAUUGCCCCAAGGACAUCGGAUAAACCACUUACAACCAGAACCGCGUGAUUAAGUAAUACAAAUCACACACACCAAUAUUUUUGCAGCGGAAAUCUUAUUACCAAAUUUUACAAGUUACAAAAAUUUUACAUUAUUUUAUCGGAAUGAUUACAAAAGUAUAAGUUUGAAAUAUAUGCUAGCUUAAGAGACCAUCCUCAAUAAGAAGUAUAGAAGGGUUACUUAGACUUAUAAGAAGGCCGAGCCCACCGGCACUUAACACCAUCAUCAGCAGCACAAAGCUAUGACCUGAAAAACAACAGGGAAUAAAACCCUGAGUAUGGAAUUACUCAGCAAGUCUUACCCGACUAAGGAAAAGACUCUCAAGGGUAUGCUGGAUAAAUAGGAAUCAAGGAGAGGCUUUAGCAAGAAUCAACUUAGAUACUUUUGCAGAAAUAGCUUACUAAAGUGAGUCCUUACUUUCAACAUUUU